GCCGGGUGUGGUGGUGCAUGCCUGUAAUCCCAGCUACUCAGGAGGCUGAGGCAGGAGAAUUGCUUGAACCCAGGAGGCAGAGGCUGCAGUGAGUUGAGAUCACGCCACUGCACUCCAGCCUGGGCGACAGAGCAAGACUCAGUCUCAA
Unclassified non-coding RNA from Macaca fascicularis (crab-eating macaque), 148 nucleotides. It matches the Rfam family "Metazoan signal recognition particle RNA". From Rfam's summary of the family: The signal recognition particle (SRP) is a universally conserved ribonucleoprotein. It is involved in the co-translational targeting of proteins to membranes. NCBI's taxonomy places the organism in Eukaryota, Metazoa, Chordata, Mammalia, Primates, Cercopithecidae. The record is from Ensembl.